This 220-nucleotide ribosomal RNA is filed under the name uncultured bacterium. RNAcentral describes it as "partial 16S ribosomal RNA". It matches the Rfam family "Bacterial small subunit ribosomal RNA", at positions 521 to 740 of the family's 1533-position model. The record is from RNAcentral.
UAAUACGUAGGGGGCAAGCGUUGUCCGGAAUCAUUGGGCGUAAAGAGCGUGUAGGCGGCCCGGUAAGUCCGUUGUAAAAGUCGAAGGCUCAACCUUCGAAAGCCGAUGGAUACUGCCGGGCUAGAGUCCGGAAGAGGCGAGUAGAAUUCCUGGUGUAGCGGUGGAAUGCGCAGAUAUCAGGAGGAAUACCCAUAGCGAAGGCAGCUCGCUGGGACGGUAC